Molecule: transfer RNA, 59 nt
Filed under: Cytophagia bacterium
Lineage: Bacteria; Pseudomonadati; Bacteroidota; Cytophagia
Description: tRNA-Met
Rfam family: tRNA
About the family: Transfer RNA (tRNA) molecules are approximately 80 nucleotides in length. Their secondary structure includes four short double-helical elements and three loops (D, anti-codon, and T loops).
Source: RNAcentral
UAGCUCAGACGGUUAGAGCACCUGACUCAUAAUCAGGUGGUCGCUGGUUCGAUCCCAGC